UGGGGAAUAUUGGACAAUGGGCGCAAGCCUGAUCCAGCCAUGCCGCGUGAGUGAUGAAGGCCCUAGGGUUGUAAAGCUCUUUCACCGGUGAAGAUAAUGACGGUAACCGGAGAAGAAGCCCCGGCUAACUUCGUGCCAGCAGCCGCGGUAAUACGAAGGGGGCUAGCGUUGUUCGGAUUUACUGGGCGUAAAGCGCACGUAGGCGGACUAUUAAGUCAGGGGUGAAAUCCCGGGGCUCAACCCCGGAACUGCCUUUGAUACUGGUAGUCUUGAGUUCGAGAGAGGUGAGUGGAAUUCCGAGUGUAGAGGUGAAAUUCGUAGAUAUUCGGAGGAACACCAGUGGCGAAGGCGACUUACUGGGCUCAUUCUGACGCUGAGGAACGAAAGCGUGGGUAGCAAACAGG
RNAcentral lists this ribosomal RNA (404 nucleotides) under Verrucomicrobiota bacterium. RNAcentral's name for it is "Verrucomicrobia bacterium partial 16S ribosomal RNA". It matches the Rfam family "Bacterial small subunit ribosomal RNA", at positions 355 to 776 of the family's 1533-position model. Lineage: Bacteria; Pseudomonadati; Verrucomicrobiota. The record is from RNAcentral.